UUGAUGUAGGAAAACCCAAGGGAAAGCUGUAACCUGAGAAAACAGGCGAUGGAGCCGGUUGUGUGCCGCCAUGCCGGAGGCCAAAUCAACACUGGCAGGGUUGAAAUUCCCUUUUUUUAUUUCGUAAAAUACUCCCUAACCACAAUUUAAACAAAUUUCACCAAGAAUCGAUCGAAAUUGAUUUGGCCGAGAGGGAGAACCACCGGAGAAGGAGGAGUAGGCGGCAGCGCCGUGGCGCAGGAAC
RNAcentral lists this long non-coding RNA (244 nucleotides) under Carica papaya (papaya). RNAcentral's name for it is "long non-coding RNA (CPAP_LNC007508)". Lineage: Eukaryota; Viridiplantae; Streptophyta; Magnoliopsida; Brassicales; Caricaceae. The record is from RNAcentral.